CUAGAGCGAGCGGGAUUGGGCGUCCCUCCUCUCUUCUGUGAAAAUAUCUCCUCUCUCCCCUCUUCUCUGUGCCGCCGCCGCCGCCGCCUCCGCUUCCCCCCUCCCUCUCGGCCGCCUUGUCUCCUCCGCGUCCACCGUCUGCUUCUCCCCUUGUCUCGGCACCCGAGUAGCACGGCCACAUCACGCCUGCGCCCUCGCUUUGCCACAUCCUCUGCGUCGUCGUGCCAUCACACCGCCUCCACUUCGCCUUUGGUUCCCCGCCGCAGCCUCCUGCCCGUGCGCUUGAGAGGGGCAUCGCCGUCGUUGCCGGUGGCGACUUCAUCGGCCGCCUCCUCUCUCCUUGCCAAUCGUGACUGCCACGACCUCGGACCUCGCUGCAGACCCCUCGGCUAUCAGGGAAGGCAGCCAUCAGUGGAGAUUGAGCCGGCUACAUGGGGAAGAGGUAUGAAAUUCUCAACUUAGGAGGGAGCAUACACAAGUGUAAGCAGACCCUUGAGUAGGAGAGCAACAUGACUGCUAGCUUCCCUGCUGCAUUACAGGAGAUGGAUACGAAGUCCUCGGAGGAGGAAUACAAAGCUCUACAAGGUGAUGGAGCUGGAGAUGUUGUGUAUUUCCAGUCUCUUGAAGAACGAAUCAUUAAUAUGAAGAUUUUGCAGGGAUGUAUAUAUAUGAUCAUGUUUCACUGGGAUCCUCAACUGUUCCGGUUCGUAUUUAGCAGGAUCACAUGUUGACCAAUGACUCAAAUUAAUUUUCUCACUGAUCCUGUUUACUCAAGAACUUGUGACCCAGUUCCAGGACAACUAUGGACUAAGGGAUGGAGGUUGAUUUAUCAUGAGGCGGUUACAGGCAUGCAUGUUUUAUGGUGGCAAGCAUUAUAUAUCAUUGAAGACUCACCAUUUGUUCAAGUUCCUAACAUGCUAAUCGGCAACCUUUAGAAGAUUGCCCUUCAAAAUUUUCUUGCCUGCUCUCCUUGCCCCUGAGCUCCUGUACCAGCAACAACAACUUGUGUGUGGUAUCAGCCAGAGAUUAGCGUUGAUUUUUUCAAGUUAUUGGGACACUCGAGAACUAGCAGUACCACAUAAAAAAGUCUGGAGUUAGCAGAACCAGAAGCAUUACACUGAGGCGCUCAGAAGAAACCCAAAGGAUCCAAAGGUAUACGGCAACACGGCUUCCUGUUACACCAAGACGGAUGCCAUGCCUGAAGUACUGAAGGAUACCAAGAAGUGCAUCGAGCUAUAUCCCACAUUCUACAAGGGAUGCACAAGGAAGGGUGCAAUCCUGUUUGUCUCUAAAGAAUGCGACAAAGCAAGGGAACGAGUGUUCCUGAGUGCUACAAUGGAAAAAGUGAAGAUUCCAGUAAAAGUGCUUCUAGACGCUAUGAUGCACCAGCUUGGCCUCCCAAAUGCAGUUUACUCAACACAAAAAGGGGCGGACGGUCGGUCUUGAUCCCAAAUGCAGUUUACUCAACACAAAAAGGGGCGGACGGUCGGUCUUGAUGCAAUAGUUCACUUCUAUGGAUGUAAGCAGCAACUGGACAAUAGACUUUCACAAAAAUCAAUAUCCAUCCAUGUGUAUGAUAAACUCGAAGAAGCUGAAGAUCAACUAGCAACUGAGGCUCUCAGGUGCAUACAAGGUUCUUACAACACAGUUCUACAAGACAUAAACUACGACAAGGCACAUCUAGCUCAAGAAAAAUGUUAGACUCUAGAGCAUCAGCAAAAAAGAUAAGGACGGAAGAAUCAACUAUUUUAGCAGCAGUGGAGAUCAAAUUGCAGCAAAGGAACUUUAUCGCAUAACAGAUACAAACUAGCUGGCUCAAUAUCCAAAGACAACAAUCUCAAUCAUGUUUUAUCACAGGUAACAUAUGCUGCUGACCGUCUUAGCGAUACAACAACACAGUCUGAAUAUGAUCUCCAGCAAAUAAACCACUAUUAUUGGGGCCUGGACGAUGAUAUCGAAGGAAUUUCUGCUUUGAGCAAUGCAGGCCACGAAGAAUAGCAGUUAUGAAGAGUUGCCUCAAAGAGGUUCAAGAGAAGCAAGGAAGAAUAUUUAAUUUGGAAUCAGUUAGUGAAGAGGAGAUCCAACACGAGGCACACCUUGUAGAAGAACAACGACUUCAUGAAGUUUGGCGACGUAGGAGGAAUGAGCACAAGAAGAUGUCGGAAAUUUUUAAGCAUGUAUGGGGGAGUAUGAAGUUGUGGGCUGGUGGUAUCGUUGUAACAGAGCUCAUUUUAUUUGUUGAUGAUGUGCGACGCAACACUGCUAGUACUCCUACUAGCGUGGAAGAACCUAACAAGAAGUGCCCGUGUUGCGGCACUCACCUACACGAUUAAUUAACUAUCAAAAGCUAAGUUGCAUCCGACAGUUGAUGCCCAGUUUUUAUAUCCUAAUAACAAUUGUGCCGGUAUGCAUGUGCUUUAUUUUAUUGUGAUGAGCAUUAUUACGUGUGAACUGAUUGUAACAAUUGUGAUUACUGGACAAAGCUUGACUGCUGUAAGAAAAUC
RNAcentral lists this ribosomal RNA (2504 nucleotides) under Triticum aestivum (bread wheat). RNAcentral's name for it is "partial small subunit ribosomal RNA". The record is from RNAcentral. Lineage: Eukaryota; Viridiplantae; Streptophyta; Magnoliopsida; Poales; Poaceae.